This 468-nucleotide ribosomal RNA is filed under the name uncultured bacterium. RNAcentral describes it as "partial 16S ribosomal RNA". It matches the Rfam family "Bacterial small subunit ribosomal RNA", at positions 28 to 507 of the family's 1533-position model. The record is from RNAcentral.
GACGAACGCUGGCGGCGUGCUUAACACAUGCAAGUCGAACGGAAAGGCCCUGCUUUUGUGGGGUGCUCGAGUGGCGAACGGGUGAGUAACACGUGAGUAACCUGCCCUUGACUUUGGGAUAACUUCAGGAAACUGGGGCUAAUACCGGAUAGGAGCUCCUGCUGCAUGGUGGGGGUUGGAAAGUUUCGGCGGUUGGGGAUGGACUCGCGGCUUAUCAGCUUGUUGGUGGGGUAGUGGCUUACCAAGGCUUUGACGGGUAGCCGGCCUGAGAGGGUGACCGGCCACAUUGGGACUGCGAUACGGACCAGACUCCUACGGGAGGCAGCAGUGGGGAAUAUUGCACAGUGGGCGGAAGCCUGAUGCAGCAACGCCGCGUGCGGGAUGACGGCCUUCGGGUUGUAAACCGCUUUCGACUGUGACGAAGCGUGAGUGACGGUAAUGGGUAAAGAAGCACCGGCUAACUACGUG